GGGUAUUUUUUAAUCCAGAGUUUACAGCAGGGGGAGAGGCACUGUUUGUGAGAGAUUAGAUAUUCAUGCACUGUGCAAGUUGACAAAGAUGUAAGUACAAGUCCAAGUGCAGAAGAGAACCGAGUACAAGCUUCAGGAGACUAACAUCUGGGAGGCAUCUAUUACAGAAUUAGCCCACAAUUAACUUGAUACACAUCAGCCUAUGUGCAGAGACUAAAUGGAGAAGUAGCCAAAAGUCCUUCUGGUACUGGAUCUACAUCAGCCAACAGACAACUGGGGAAAUGUUAAUGGAUCUGUGAAGAACAUAAUUUGGCAACCUCAGAGACUGUAUCUCUAAUUAUAAUUCACACUCAAGUUGACUUUUAUUGGCAAUAUUUUUAAACAAGGAGGGUAAAAAAUUGGAAAGAGGAAAAUCAGGAAGAUUUAUUUGAAAUUGCUUUCUUUUUAAAGUUUCAUGGGAAUGGAACAUUUCAGACAUCUCUGAAGAGUCAAAGCAGCAGUUAAUGUUAAGCAAUCCAAUUCUGUACUUGGACGUGGUCUAAAACAACUGUGGUGGUUUCCAAAUGACGUCUACUCUUAACAGAUCUAUCCAAAAUACUUCAGCUAUUACUCAAUGACUUGGCAUAAUUAAACAAUCUCUGAUGUAAUAAAUUGAAGGACUUGGAGCAGAGAUAAAAGACCACAUGUAAAGCCAUCGUUGCAGUUUAAUCCUCACCUUUGGUAACUUCACAAUGUCAAGUGGUAUAAUAGGGGGCUAUAUUUAUGCGGGGAGAAGCCUCCUGAGGCUGAGUGGGAUGGAAAGAAGAGGAAGCAGCCAGGGUAGCACAUGUCACCAGAAGGAACUGGUUUUUUUGUUUUUUUUUUUUUGAGACGGAGUCUCGCGCUGUGUCACCCAGGCUGGAGUGCAGUGGCGCGAUCUCGGCUCACUGCAAGCUCCGCCUCCCAAGUAGCUGGGACUACAGGCGCCCGCCACCACGCCCGGCUAGUUUUUUGUAUUUUUAGUAGAGACGGGGUUUCACCAUGUUAGCCAGGAUGGUCUCGAUCUCCUGACCUCAUGAUCCACCCGCCUCGGCCUCCCAAAGUGCUGGGAUUACAGG
Molecule: long non-coding RNA, 1097 nt
Filed under: Papio anubis (olive baboon)
Lineage: Eukaryota; Metazoa; Chordata; Mammalia; Primates; Cercopithecidae
Description: lncRNA (ENSPANG00000045299.1)
Source: RNAcentral